RNAcentral lists this transfer RNA (72 nucleotides) under Ictidomys tridecemlineatus (thirteen-lined ground squirrel). RNAcentral describes it as "Spermophilus tridecemlineatus (thirteen-lined ground squirrel) tRNA". It matches the Rfam family "tRNA". From Rfam's summary of the family: Transfer RNA (tRNA) molecules are approximately 80 nucleotides in length. Their secondary structure includes four short double-helical elements and three loops (D, anti-codon, and T loops). Further hydrogen bonds mediate the characteristic L-shaped molecular structure. tRNAs have two regions of fundamental functional importance: the anti-codon, which is responsible for specific mRNA codon recognition, and the 3' end, to which the tRNAs corresponding amino acid is attached (by aminoacyl-tRNA synthetases). tRNAs cope with the degeneracy of the genetic code in two manners: having more than one tRNA (with a specific anti-codon) for a particular amino acid; and 'wobble' base-pairing, i.e. permitting non-standard base-pairing at the 3rd anti-codon position. The record is from Rfam by way of RNAcentral. Lineage: Eukaryota; Metazoa; Chordata; Mammalia; Rodentia; Sciuridae.
GGGGUUGUGGCUCAGCGGUGGAGCGCUCUUUUAGCACUUGAGAGGCUCUGGGUUAGAUCCUCAGCAACACAU